This 422-nucleotide ribosomal RNA is filed under the name uncultured bacterium. RNAcentral's name for it is "bacterial SSU rRNA". It matches the Rfam family "Bacterial small subunit ribosomal RNA", at positions 608 to 1029 of the family's 1533-position model. The record is from RNAcentral.
CUCAACCGGUGAACUGCGCUUGAAACUACUGGACUAGAGAUCAGGAGAGGAAAGUGGAAUUCCUAGUGUAGCGGUGAAAUGCGUAGAUAUUAGGAAGAACAUCGAUGGCGAAGGCAGCUUUCUGGCCUGACACUGACGCUGAGGCGCGAAAGCGUGGGGAGCAAACAGGAUUAGAUACCCUGGUAGUCCACGCCGUAAACGAUGGAUACUAGGUGUAGGGGGUUCGAUUCCCUCUGUGCUGCAGUUAACGCAAUAAGUAUCCCGCCUGGGGAGUACGGUCGCAAGAUUGAAACUCAAAGGAAUUGACGGGGGCCCGCACAAGCGGUGGAGUAUGUGGUUUAAUUCGAUGCAACGCGAAGAACCUUACCAAGGCUUGACAUCCCGUGACAGCCUGUGAAAGCAGGAAUUAGCUUCGGCUACAC